UUCAAUUUCGCAAGAUGGUUUUGAUGGUGGGUAUGAAUCAACACUUGGACUUAAUCAUAUUAUAUGCUAAACCGUCUCAGAUCUAAUGGACCCUUGGACUUAAUUAUCACAAUGUUAGCGAUGUUUCUAAUGAACCCUUCCUCGCGACCCAGUGAUGAGAAGUCUAUUGAGCAUUCAAUCGAAAUCGUUAAGACUUCCAUUUAUUCUAGAUGAUAGAAAACGAAAUGUUUUUGUCGGAUGAUGGUGGUGCAAGUGCAACUGCUCAUAAACUGACACAACUAGCCUCUAUCUUUUUCUCUCCUUUUUUUAUUGAACAUAGCUAGCC
Molecule: long non-coding RNA, 325 nt
Organism: Papaver somniferum (opium poppy)
Lineage: Eukaryota; Viridiplantae; Streptophyta; Magnoliopsida; Ranunculales; Papaveraceae
Exons: 3
Source: RefSeq, a predicted model, not a curated record